Molecule: non-coding RNA, 534 nt
Organism: Oncorhynchus mykiss (rainbow trout)
Lineage: Eukaryota; Metazoa; Chordata; Actinopteri; Salmoniformes; Salmonidae
Source: RefSeq, a predicted model, not a curated record
GGUCUGAAUUUCAACAUUCUGAUGCCAUAUUUAUAAUAUAAAAUAUAUGCCACUGAUUUUCCACCAACCGGUUUCUGUGCCAACGCACCACACAACCAAUAAAGAAAGCCUGCCGGCUUUGUGCACUUCAAUAUCCAAGUCGAUUGUGGUGUUGAAAACGAAAACGGUGUAAAUCUUGACAAACAGAAAAUACAUCCCUCCCUACCUUGUAGGUUUACCCAGGAUCAGAGGCUUAACAAUCUCAGAAUGUCGUUCAACAUUUUGGUGUUUUUGUAACAGCUGUCUCUUUCCAUUCAUCAAAUGGCAGAAUGCAGAGAACAAAGCAGCAAGGGUUGUUUUAAGGUGGAGAUAUGGUUCUACUGUUGCAGUCAUGGAUUGUUUUAAGGUGGAGAUAUGGUUCUCCUGUUGCAGUCAUGGAUUGUUUAAAGGUGGAGAUGUGGUUCUACUGUUGCAGUCAUGGGUUGUUUUAAGGUGGAGAUAUGGUUCUACUGUUGCAGUCAUGGAUUGUUUUAAGGUGGAGAUAUGGUUCUACUG